AUGUACUCGAUGCCCAACGGGGCGCAAGAACAGACCAAGGAGGAGGAAGGGAGCGGGGGUGAAAGUCAGGAGGUGUGGGAAUCCGAUGGCGAGGAGGAUGAAGAAGAUGCCGGCUCUGGUGAGGAAGAGGAGGAGGAAGAGGAGGAGGAAGUCGAGCCUCCCCGUACUGAAAGACGAUCCAAGCUCACCCAUGACCCCGCAGUCGAGCGUGGUAAGGCGGCCGUGCCUGUUGGGCAGUUGACUACACGUCCUCGCACGACCUCUCCGGCGCCGACUGAGAAAGCGUCGAAGCAACCCCGAGCAGCAUCAUCAAAACUGACGAAGGCCCUGCCGAAGAUGAGGAUGGUGAUUCCCACUAUUUCCGGGUAA
This 369-nucleotide ribosomal RNA is filed under the name Triticum aestivum (bread wheat). Its description in RNAcentral is "partial small subunit ribosomal RNA". Lineage: Eukaryota; Viridiplantae; Streptophyta; Magnoliopsida; Poales; Poaceae. The record is from RNAcentral.